RNAcentral lists this transfer RNA (73 nucleotides) under Cellulosimicrobium phage DS1. RNAcentral's name for it is "tRNA-Glu". It matches the Rfam family "tRNA". From Rfam's summary of the family: Transfer RNA (tRNA) molecules are approximately 80 nucleotides in length. Their secondary structure includes four short double-helical elements and three loops (D, anti-codon, and T loops). Lineage: Duplodnaviria; Heunggongvirae; Uroviricota; Caudoviricetes. The record is from RNAcentral.
GACCCUAUAGUGUAGUGGCUAGCACGCAACCCUUUCAAGGUUGUAGGCGGAGUUCGAAUCUCCGUAGGGUUAC